GCCGUCGUGGUGUAACGGUAGCACACUCGGUGCGUACUCGAGUGACACAGGUUCGAAUCCCGGCGAGAGCA
Molecule: transfer RNA, 71 nt
Filed under: Stegodyphus mimosarum
Lineage: Eukaryota; Metazoa; Arthropoda; Arachnida; Araneae; Eresidae
Rfam family: tRNA
About the family: Transfer RNA (tRNA) molecules are approximately 80 nucleotides in length. Their secondary structure includes four short double-helical elements and three loops (D, anti-codon, and T loops). Further hydrogen bonds mediate the characteristic L-shaped molecular structure. tRNAs have two regions of fundamental functional importance: the anti-codon, which is responsible for specific mRNA codon recognition, and the 3' end, to which the tRNAs corresponding amino acid is attached (by aminoacyl-tRNA synthetases). tRNAs cope with the degeneracy of the genetic code in two manners: having more than one tRNA (with a specific anti-codon) for a particular amino acid; and 'wobble' base-pairing, i.e. permitting non-standard base-pairing at the 3rd anti-codon position.
Source: Rfam by way of RNAcentral